Molecule: ribosomal RNA, 497 nt
Filed under: uncultured bacterium
Lineage: Bacteria
Description: partial 16S ribosomal RNA
Rfam family: Bacterial small subunit ribosomal RNA
Source: RNAcentral
GAUGAACGCUGGCGGCGUGCCUAAUACAUGCAAGUCGAGCGAACAGACGAGGAGCUUGCUCCUCUGACGUUAGCGGCGGACGGGUGAGUAACACGUGGAUAACCUACCUAUAAGACUGGGAUAACUUCGGGACACCGGAGCUAAUACCGGAUAAUAUAUUGAACCGCAUGGUUCAAUAGUGAAAGACGGUUUUGCUGUCACUUAUAGAUGGAUCCGCGCCGCAUUAGCUAGUUGGUAAGGUACCGGCUUACCAAGGCAACGAUGCGUAGGCGACCUGAGAGGGUGGUCGGCCACCUGGGAACUGAGACACGGUCCAGGCGCCUGCGGGAGGGAGCAGUAGGGAAUCUUCCGCAAUGGGCGAAAGCCUGACGGAGCAACGCCGCGUGAGUGAUGGAGGUCUUCGGAUCGUAAAACUCUGUUAUUAGGGAAGAACAAAUGUGUAAGUAACUAUGCACGUCUUGACGGUACCUAAUCAGAAAGCCACGGCUAACUACGUG